Molecule: ribosomal RNA, 172 nt
Filed under: Streptococcus pneumoniae
Lineage: Bacteria; Bacillati; Bacillota; Bacilli; Lactobacillales; Streptococcaceae
Description: partial 23S ribosomal RNA
Rfam family: Bacterial large subunit ribosomal RNA
Source: RNAcentral
AGGGAAGGGAUAAACGCUGAAAGCAUCUAAGUGUGAAACCCACCUCAAGAUGAGAUUUCCCAUGAUUAUAUAUCAGUAAGAGCCCUGAGAGAUGAUCAGGUAGAUAGGUUAGAAGUGGAAGUGUGGCGACACAUGUAGCGGACUAAUACUAAUAGCUCGAGGACUUAUCCAA